This 905-nucleotide ribosomal RNA is filed under the name Sphaeromyxa longa. RNAcentral's name for it is "SSU rRNA". It matches the Rfam family "Eukaryotic small subunit ribosomal RNA", at positions 305 to 1099 of the family's 1831-position model. Lineage: Eukaryota; Metazoa; Cnidaria; Myxozoa; Bivalvulida; Sphaeromyxidae. The record is from RNAcentral.
UUCUGCCCUAUCAACUUGUUGGUAAGGUAGUGGCUUACCAAGAUUAUUACGGGUAACGGGGAAUCAGGGUUCGAUUCCGGAGAGGGAGCCUGAGAAACGGCUACCACAUCCAAGGAAGGCAGCAGGCGCGCAAAUUAUCCAAUCCAGAUACUGGGAGAUGGUAACGAGGAAUACCAGGUUGUUUUCAAUAGAAUUCAGCACUGGAAUGAAUGUAACUUAAAAAAUUCAAUGAUUAGCAACUGGAGGGCAAGUCUGGUGCCAGCAGCCGCGGUAAUUCCAGCUCCAGUAGUGUAUUCUAAAGUUGCUGCGGUUAAAACGCUCGUAGUUGGACAAUAGAGUAACUUAGUGCAGGCGGGGGAGAUUAUAUACAUUUUCUGGUUAAUAAAUAUGAGCUUUGCGAGUAUUUAUUGCUGGUUUAUGCAUUACUUCGUCGACCGUGUAGCUAAGUUACUUGGAAUAUUUUGUGAGAAUAAUACAUGACCUUUAUUGUGUCGUAUAUUGUAUCUUGCAUGGCGUGCCUUGAAUAAAUCAGAGUGCUCAAAGCAAGCUACGCUUGAAUGUUAAUAGCAUGGAACGAAUGUUUUGUGAAAGUAUAUAUGGUUUUUCUUUGAUUAAUCAUAUAUACAGCACCAACCACGAAGCAGAACAUUGGUAGCUGUCUUCGGGUGAUGAUUAAGAGGGGCAUUUGGGGGCAUUAGUAUUUGAACGCGAGAGGUGAAAUUCUUGGACCGUUCAAGGACUAACAAGUGCGAAAGCAUUUGCCAAGGAUGUUCCCUUUAAUCAAGAACGAAAGUGAGAGGAUCGAAGACGAUCAGAUACCGUCCUAGUUCUCACCGUAAACUAUGCCAACCCGGGAUCAGCUCGGAUGAACUUUUUUGGAUCCAGGUUGGUCCCCCCGUGAAACC